AGAGUUUGAUCCUGGCUCAGGACGAACGCUGGCGGCGCUGCUUAACACAUGCAAGUCGAGCGGUAAGGCCCUUCGGGGUACACGAGCGGCGAACGGGUGAGUAACACGUGAGCAAUCUGCCCUCCACAUCGGGAUAACCCCCGGAAACGGGAGCUAAUACCGGAUACGACCACUUCAGGCAUCUGAUGGUGGUGGAAAGUUCUGGCGGUGGAGGAUGAGCUCGCGGCCUAUCAGCUUGUUGGUGGGGUAAUGGCCCACCAAGGCUUCGACGGGUAGCCGGCCUGAGAGGGUGACCGGCCACACUGGGACUGAGACACGGCCCAGACUCCUACGGGAGGCAGCAGUGGGGAAUAUUGCGCAAUGGGCGAAAGCCUGACGCAGCAACGCCGCGUGAGUGAUGAAGGCCUUCGGGUCGUAAAGCUCUGUCGGAGGGAACGAAUGUUUCUGAGGUUAACAGCCUUAGGAAGUGACGGUACCCUCAAAGGAAGCACCGGCUAACUCUGUGCCAGCAGCCGCGGUAAUACAGAGGGUGCUAGCGUUGUUCAAUCAUUGGGCGUAAAGGGCGUGUAGGCGGUUUGUUAAGUCAUGUGUGAAAACCCGAGGCUCAACCUCGGGCCUGCAGUGGGUACGGGCAGACUAGAGUGCGGUAGGGGAGAUUGGAAUUCCUGGUGUAGCGGUGGAAUGCGCAGAUAUCAGGAGGAACGCCGAUGGCGAAGGCAGAUCUCUGGGCCGUAACUGACGCUGAGGAGCGAAAGGGUGGGGAGCAAACAGGCUUAGAUACCCUGGUAGUCCACCCCGUAAACGUUGGGAACUAGUUGUGGGGUCCAUUCCACGGAUUCGUGACGCAGCUAACGCAUUA
RNAcentral lists this ribosomal RNA (859 nucleotides) under uncultured bacterium. RNAcentral describes it as "bacterial SSU rRNA". It matches the Rfam family "Bacterial small subunit ribosomal RNA", at positions 8 to 862 of the family's 1533-position model. The record is from RNAcentral.